Molecule: transfer RNA, 73 nt
Filed under: Ailuropoda melanoleuca (giant panda)
Lineage: Eukaryota; Metazoa; Chordata; Mammalia; Carnivora; Ursidae
Rfam family: tRNA
About the family: Transfer RNA (tRNA) molecules are approximately 80 nucleotides in length. Their secondary structure includes four short double-helical elements and three loops (D, anti-codon, and T loops). Further hydrogen bonds mediate the characteristic L-shaped molecular structure. tRNAs have two regions of fundamental functional importance: the anti-codon, which is responsible for specific mRNA codon recognition, and the 3' end, to which the tRNAs corresponding amino acid is attached (by aminoacyl-tRNA synthetases). tRNAs cope with the degeneracy of the genetic code in two manners: having more than one tRNA (with a specific anti-codon) for a particular amino acid; and 'wobble' base-pairing, i.e. permitting non-standard base-pairing at the 3rd anti-codon position.
Source: Rfam by way of RNAcentral
GCCCAGCUGGCUCAGUCUGUGGAGCACGUGACUUUUGAUCUUGAGGUUGUGAGUUCGAGUCCCACGUUGGGUG